AAAGAGGAAGUCCCAAGGGUGUGUUUUGACAUCCAGGAAUCCUCAUUCCCAUGCAGGUACGGUGGUAACCCAUGCAAGUGACGACCACUGAUCAGAUGCAAUUUCAAGGAUGCCAGAAGUAUCGUUGAAGCUGGCCAAAGGCAAACGGCAGUUUUCAGGUUAAAUCUUUAACAGGAUGUCUGCACGCGUUAAAUAGAUGGAAAGAAUUAGUUUCUCAUUCUUACUUCACUCAUUCAACGAGAAACUCCAUGGUCUGUGGAUGAUGCAAAGCACCUAUAAUCCGUUCUCUAGCAAGAGGAGAUUGAAUAUUCAAGUGCAUGUGAAAUAGGAUGACAGAAGUUGGAAGUCCAAUUGAAAGAGCUGAGUUGGCCUCUCCUGUGGUUUCCACACUCAAUAUCAUGACCACUGCAUUCGAUCCAGUUGGCAAGACCUCUUCCAGUACAGUGAGAGAUAUGAGUUUUACUGCAUUCUAUAAAUAUGACCAUUUAUUUGGCCCAAUGUAUUCAUAUUCCCACUCGUUCAGUGCUCACUUACACUGUCCAAUUUGCUUGACUCAGUCUAUAAAUGUAGUUUGCCUACAUCUGAAACGUCGUCUGGAUGGCUUUAGAGUGACUCCAGCAGACCAGACCAGGUCUCAGGGUCACCCCCAAGCCACAAGUCACACUCUCUCGCUCCUUUUCCUCCCACUCUCAGAAGUACUUAAAUGCAUCAUAUUCCAAAACUUUAUUUGAAUAUUAUUGGAAUGAGAGAACAGAUACUUUAAUAAGGCGAUUUUGUCUUGUUUUAAAAUGUUUUAUUUGCUUGAGAAAGUCAGGAAGUCGGAUUGAUACCAAAAGACCAGAUAUAAACUGUUUGCUGUUUUCUUUGCCGUAAGCUUAACUUUUUAUAUCGCAGAGUAGGAGUCAAGGAAUACCAGUGAGGAACCUCAACGGUUUAACUAAU
This is a long non-coding RNA of Pteropus alecto (black flying fox), 942 nucleotides long. RefSeq lists it as uncharacterized. The record is from RefSeq and is a predicted model, not a curated record. The transcript has 4 exons. Lineage: Eukaryota; Metazoa; Chordata; Mammalia; Chiroptera; Pteropodidae.